AGCCUAUACAGGUGUUGCAUGGCUGUCGUCAGCUCGUGUCGUGAGAUGUUCGGCUAAGUCCGCUAACGAGCGCAACCCUCGUCGUAUGUUAUAUGUGUCAUACGAGACUGCCGGUAAAAGCCGGAGGAAGGUGAGGAUGAUGUCAAGUCAGCAUGACCUUUAUAUCCAGGGCUACACACACGCUACAAUGGUCUGUACAAUGGGUAGCCAAGCCGCGAGGCGGAGCCAAUCCUGAAAGCAGGCCUCAGUUCAGAUUGCAGUCUGCAACUCGACUGCAUGAAGCCGGAGUUGCUAGUAACCGCAGGUCAGCAAUACUGCGGUGAAUACGUUCCCGGGUCUU
This 340-nucleotide ribosomal RNA is filed under the name uncultured Anaerolineaceae bacterium. RNAcentral's name for it is "bacterial SSU rRNA". It matches the Rfam family "Bacterial small subunit ribosomal RNA", at positions 1027 to 1382 of the family's 1533-position model. Lineage: Bacteria; Bacillati; Chloroflexota; Anaerolineae; Anaerolineales; Anaerolineaceae. The record is from RNAcentral.